This 512-nucleotide ribosomal RNA is filed under the name uncultured bacterium. RNAcentral's name for it is "partial 16S ribosomal RNA". It matches the Rfam family "Bacterial small subunit ribosomal RNA", at positions 28 to 507 of the family's 1533-position model. The record is from RNAcentral.
GAUGAACGCUGGCGGCGUGCCUAAUACAUGCAAGUCGAACGAAACUUCUUUAUCACCGAGUGCUUGCACUCACCGAUAAAGAGUUGAGUGGCGAACGGGUGAGUAACACGUGGGCAACCUGCCCAAAAGAGGGGGAUAACACUUGGAAACAGGUGCUAAUACCGCAUAACCAUAGUUACCGCAUGGUAACUAUGUAAAAGGUGGCUAUACUACCGCUUUUGGAUGGGCCCGCGGCGCAUUAGCUAGUUGGUAGGGUAAAGGCUUACCAAGGCAAUGAUGCGUAGCCGAAUUGAGAGGUUGAUCGGCCACAUUGGGACUGAGACACGGCCCAAACUCCUACGGGAGGCAGCAGUAGGGAAUCUUCCACAAUGGGCGAAAGCCUGAUGGAGCAACGCCGCGUGGGUGAAGAAGGUCUUCGGAUCGUAAAACCCUGUUGUUAGAGAAGAAAGUGCGUGAGAGUAACUGUUCACGUUUCGACGGUAACUAACCAGAAAGCCACGGCUAACUACGUG